This 937-nucleotide ribosomal RNA is filed under the name Russula sp. RNAcentral's name for it is "partial large subunit ribosomal RNA". It matches the Rfam family "Eukaryotic large subunit ribosomal RNA", at positions 42 to 955 of the family's 3401-position model. The record is from RNAcentral. Lineage: Eukaryota; Fungi; Basidiomycota; Agaricomycetes; Russulales; Russulaceae.
AUCAAUAAGCGGAGGAAAAGAAACUAACAAGGAUUCCCCUAGUAACUGCGAGUGAAGCGGGAAAAGCUCAAAUUUAAAAUCUGGUGGUCUUUGGCCAUCCGAGUUGUAAUUUAGAGAAGCAUUUUCCGCGCUGGACCCAUGCACAAGUCUCCUGGAAUGGAGCGUCAUAGAGGGUGAGAAUCCCGUCUUUGGCAUGGACACACCAGGGCUGUUGUGAUGUGCUCUCGAAGAGUCGAGUUGUUUGGGAAUGCAGCUCAAAAUGGGUGGUGAACUCCAUCUAAAGCUAAAUAUUGGCGAGAGACCGAUAGCGAACAAGUACCGUGAGGGAAAGAUGAAAAGCACUUUGGAAAGAGAGUGAAACAGUACGUGAAAUUGUUGAAAGGGAAACGCUUGAAGUCAGUCGCGUCGACCGAGACUCAGCCUUGCCUUGGCUUGGUGUACUUCUCGGCUGACGGGUCAGCAUCAAUUUUGCCCCUUGGAUAAUGGCAAGGGAAAUGUGACACCUUUUUAGGUGUGUUAUAGUCUCUCGUCGCAUGCAAGGGUCGGGAUUGAGGAACUCAGCACGCGCCUUUGGGUGUCGGGGCUUUGCCCACGAUACGUGCUUAGGAUGCUGGCGUAAUGGCUUUAAACGACCCGUCUUGAAACACGGACCAAGGAGUCUAACAUGCCCGCGAGUGUUUGGGUGGAAAACCCAUCCGCGAAAUGAAAGUGAAAGUUGGGACCUCUGUCGUGGAGGGCACCGACACCCGGACCAGACCUUCUGUGACGGAUCUGCGGUAGAGCGUGCAUGUUAGGACCCGAAAGAUGGUGAACUAUGCCUGAAUAGGGUGAAGCCAGAGGAAACUCUGGUGGAGGCUCGUAGCGAUUCUGACGUGCAAAUCGAUCGUCAAAUUUGGGUAUAGGGGCGAAAGACUAAUCGAACCAUCUAGUAGCUGGU